ACAAGAACCGUCGAGAUGGAGCAAAACUCAAAAACUUAGUCUCAGUUCGGAUUGUAGGCUGAAACUCGCCUACAUGAAGCUGGAGUUGCUAGUAAUCGCGAAUCAGCAUGUCGCGGUGAAUACGUUCCCGGGCCUUGUACACACCGCCCGUCACACCAUGAGAGUUGGCAAUACCCAACGUACGUGAUCUAACCCGCAAGGGAGGAAGCGUCCUAAGGUAGGGUCAGCGAUUGGGGUGAAGUCGUAACAAGGUAGC
RNAcentral lists this ribosomal RNA (256 nucleotides) under uncultured bacterium. RNAcentral describes it as "partial 16S ribosomal RNA". It matches the Rfam family "Bacterial small subunit ribosomal RNA", at positions 1249 to 1500 of the family's 1533-position model. The record is from RNAcentral.